CACGUAGGGGGCGAGCGUUGUCCGGAAUUACUGGGCGUAAAGGGCGCGCAGGCUGUUAUGCGAGUCUGCUGUGAAAUGUACCGACUCAACCGGUGCCUUGCGGCGGAUACUGCAUAGCUGGAGUACUGGAGAGGGAAGUGGAAUUCCCGGUGUAGCGGUGAAAUGCGUGGAUAUCGGGAGGAGCACCGGUGGCGAAGGCGGCUUUCUGGCCAGUUACUGACGCUCAUGCGCGAAAGCUGGGGUAGCGAACCGGAUUAGAUACCCCU
This 266-nucleotide ribosomal RNA is filed under the name uncultured prokaryote. RNAcentral describes it as "partial 16S ribosomal RNA". It matches the Rfam family "Bacterial small subunit ribosomal RNA", at positions 524 to 789 of the family's 1533-position model. The record is from RNAcentral.